RNAcentral lists this ribosomal RNA (481 nucleotides) under uncultured bacterium. Its description in RNAcentral is "bacterial SSU rRNA". It matches the Rfam family "Bacterial small subunit ribosomal RNA", at positions 28 to 526 of the family's 1533-position model. The record is from RNAcentral.
GACGAACGCUGGCGGCGUGCUUAACACAUGCAAGUCGAACGAUGAUGCGGUGCUUGCACCGUGGAUUAGUGGCGAACGGGUGAGUAACACGUGAGUAACCUGCCCUUCACUCUGGGAUAAGCGCUGGAAACGGUGUCUAAUACUGGAUAUUUAGGCUCUGCUGCAUGGUGGGGUUUGGAAAGAUUUUUUGGUGGAGGAUGGGCUCGCGGCCUAUCAGUUUGUUGGUGGGGUGAUGGCCUACCAAGACGACGACGGGUAGCCGGCCUGAGAGGGUGACCGGCCACACUGGGACUGAGACACGGCCCAGACUCCUACGGGAGGCAGCAGUGGGGAAUAUUGCACAAUGGGCGAAAGCCUGAUGCAGCGACGCCGCGUGAGGGAUGACGGCCUUCGGGUUGUAAAGCUCUUUCAGCUGGGAAGAUAAUGACGGUACCAGCAGAAGAAGCCCCGGCUAACUCCGUGCCAGCCGCCGCGGUAAAAC